UACUUGUUGGGAUAGCCUGUCGAUUUG
Molecule: small RNA, 27 nt
Filed under: Bombyx mori (domestic silkworm)
Lineage: Eukaryota; Metazoa; Arthropoda; Insecta; Lepidoptera; Bombycidae
Description: ovarian small RNA-21690
Source: RNAcentral